RNAcentral lists this ribosomal RNA (230 nucleotides) under uncultured bacterium. RNAcentral describes it as "partial 16S ribosomal RNA". It matches the Rfam family "Bacterial small subunit ribosomal RNA", at positions 562 to 791 of the family's 1533-position model. The record is from RNAcentral.
AAAGCGUGCGCAGGCGGUUAUGUAAGACAGAUGUGAAAUCCCCGGGCUCAACCUGGGAACUGCAUUAGUGACUGCAUAGCUGGAGUACGGCAGAGGGGGAUGGAAUUCCGCGUGUAGCAGUGAAAUGCGUAGAUAUGCGGAGGAACACCGAUGGCGAAGGCAAUCCCCUGGGCCUGUACUGACGCUCAUGCACGAAAGCGUGGGGAGCAAACAGGAUUAGAUACCCCAGU